RNAcentral lists this ribosomal RNA (698 nucleotides) under uncultured Rickettsiella sp. Its description in RNAcentral is "bacterial SSU rRNA". It matches the Rfam family "Bacterial small subunit ribosomal RNA", at positions 83 to 774 of the family's 1533-position model. Lineage: Bacteria; Pseudomonadati; Pseudomonadota; Gammaproteobacteria; Legionellales; Coxiellaceae. The record is from RNAcentral.
UACGGGUGGCGAGUGGCGGACGGGUGAGUAAAGCGUAGGAAUCUGUCCUGGAGAGUGGAAUAACCCGAGGAAACUCGGGCUAAUACCGCAUGACAUCGAGAGAUCAAAGCAGGGGACCCUUCGGGGCCUUGCGCUCUAGGAUGAGCCUACGUCGGAUUAGCUAGUUGGUGGGGGUAAACACCUACCAAGGCGACGAUCCGUAGCUGGUCUGAGAGGAUGACCAGCCACACUGGGACUGAGACACGGCCCAGACUCCUACGGGAGGCAGCAGUGGGGAAUCUUGGACAAUGGGGGAAACCCUGAUCCAGCGAUGCCGCGUGUGUGAAGAAGGCCUUCGGGUUGUAAAGCACUUUAGGUGGGGAAGAAAAGUAAUGAGCGAAUAACUGAUUGCUCUGACGGUACCCGCAGAAUAAGCACCGGCUAACUCUGUGCCAGCAGCCGCGGUAAUACAGAGGGUGCAAGCGUUAAUCAGAAUGACUGGGCGUAAAGGGCGUGUAGGUGGUUGACUAGGUUUGAUGUGAAAUCCCCGGGCUUAACCUGGGAAUUGCGUCGAAAACGGGUCGACUAGAGUGAGAUAGAGGGUUGUGGAAUUUCCGGUGUAGCGGUGAAAUGCGUAGAUAUCGGAAAGAACAUCAGUGGCGAAGGCGACAACCUGGAUCUUAACUGACACUGAGGCGCGAAGGCGUGGGGAGCAAACA